RNAcentral lists this ribosomal RNA (608 nucleotides) under Helicosporium abuense. Its description in RNAcentral is "eukaryotic LSU rRNA". It matches the Rfam family "Eukaryotic large subunit ribosomal RNA", at positions 27 to 656 of the family's 3401-position model. The record is from RNAcentral. Lineage: Eukaryota; Fungi; Ascomycota; Dothideomycetes; Tubeufiales; Tubeufiaceae.
GCUGAACUUAAGCAUAUCAAUAAGCGGAGGAAAAGAAACCAACAGGGAUUGCCUCAGUAACGGCGAGUGAAGCGGCAACAGCUCAAAUUUGAAAUCUGGCUUCGGCCCGAGUUGUAAUUUGUAGAGGAUGCUUCGGCUUACGCACCGGUCUAAGUUCCUUGGAACAGGACGUCACAGAGGGUGAGAAUCCCGUUUGUGGCCGGUGCUUCCGCCAUGUGAAGCUCCUUCGACGAGUCGAGUUGUUUGGGAAUGCAGCUCUAAAUGGGAGGUAAAUUUCUUCUAAAGCUAAAUACCGGCCAGAGACCGAUAGCGCACAAGUAGAGUGAUCGAAAGAUGAAAAGCACUUUGGAAAGAGAGUUAAAAAGUACGUGAAAUUGUUGAAAGGGAAGCGCUUGCGACCAGACUUGCCCGCGGAUGCUCAACCGGUCCUUCGGCCGGUGCACUCUUCCGCGGUCAGGCCAGCAUCAGUUCGGGCGGUCGGAUAAAGGCCUUGGGAAUGUGGCUCUCUUCGGGGAGUGUUAUAGCCCUUGGUGCAAUACGGCCCGCCUGGACUGAGGCCCGCGCUUCGGCUAGGAUGCUGGCGUAAUGGUCGUAAGCGGCCCGUCUUG